GAUGAACGCUGGCGGCGUGCCUAAUACAUGCAAGUCGAGCGAACGGUCGAGAAGCUUGCUUCUCUGAUGUUAGCGGCGGACGGGUGAGUAACACGUGGAUAACCUACCUAUAAGACUGGGAUAACUUCGGGAAACCGUAGCUAAUACCGGAUAAUAUUUUGAACCGCAUGGUUCAAAAGUGAAAGACGGUCUUGCUGUCACUUAUAGAUGGAUCCGCGCUGCAUUAGCUAGUUGGUAAGGUAACGGCUUACCGAGGCAACGAUGCAUAGCCGACCUGAGAGGGUGAUCGGACACACUGGAACUGAGACACGGUCCAGACUCCUACGGGAGGCAGCAGUAGGGAAUCUUCCGCAAUGGGCGAAAGCCUGACGGAGCAACGCCGCGUGAGUGAUGAAGGUCUUCGGAUCGUAAAACUCUGUUAUUAGGGAAGAACAUAUGUGUAAGUAACUGUGCACAUCUUGACGGUACCUAAUCAGAAAGCCACGGCUAACUACGUG
This 497-nucleotide ribosomal RNA is filed under the name uncultured bacterium. RNAcentral's name for it is "partial 16S ribosomal RNA". It matches the Rfam family "Bacterial small subunit ribosomal RNA", at positions 28 to 507 of the family's 1533-position model. The record is from RNAcentral.